UACGGGGGGGGCAAGCGUUGUUCGGAAUUACUGGGCGUAAAGGGCUCGUAGGCGGCCAACUAAGUCGGACGUGAAAUCCCCAGGCUCAACCUGGGAACUGCGUCCGAUACUGGAUGGCUUGAAUCCGGGAGAGGGAUGCAGAAUUCCAGGUGUAGCGGUGAAAUGCGUAGAUAUCUGGAGGAAUACCGGUGGCGAAGGCGGCAUCCUGGACCGGCAUUGACGCUGAGGAGCGAAAGCCAGGGGAGCUAACGGG
This 253-nucleotide ribosomal RNA is filed under the name uncultured bacterium. RNAcentral's name for it is "partial 16S ribosomal RNA". It matches the Rfam family "Bacterial small subunit ribosomal RNA", at positions 524 to 776 of the family's 1533-position model. The record is from RNAcentral.